This 489-nucleotide ribosomal RNA is filed under the name uncultured bacterium. RNAcentral's name for it is "bacterial SSU rRNA". It matches the Rfam family "Bacterial small subunit ribosomal RNA", at positions 31 to 507 of the family's 1533-position model. The record is from RNAcentral.
GAACGCUAGCUACAGGCUUAACACAUGCAAGUCGAGGGGAAACGAUAUUGGAAGCUUGCUUCUGAUAGGCGUCGACCGGCGCACGGGUGAGUAACGCGUAUCCAACCUGCCCAUCACUUGGGGAUAACCUUGCGAAAGUAAGACUAAUACCCAAUGACGUCUCUAGAAGACAUCUGAAAGAGAUUAAAGAUUUAUCGGUGAUGGAUGGGGAUGCGUCUGAUUAGCUUGUUGGCGGGGUAACGGCCCACCAAGGCGACGAUCAGUAGGGGUUCUGAGAGGAAGGUCCCCCACAUUGGAACUGAGACACGGUCCAAACUCCUACGGGAGGCAGCAGUGAGGAAUAUUGGUCAAUGGACGAGAGUCUGAACCAGCCAAGUAGCGUGCAGGAUGACGGCCCUAUGGGUUGUAAACUGCUUUUAUAAGGGAAUAAAGUGGGAGUCGUGACUCUUUUUGCAUGUACCUUAUGAAUAAGGACCGGCUAAUUCCGUG